ACAAAAAUCUCUAAUUGGUUAAAAGUAACAGCAAGCUCUUAGAUCGUCCUGGUGGAGGAAAGAUGAGUCCCGUACCCAGAGGCGCAGUGACCUCAUACACUGGCAGAUGAAGUGAGGAGAAGCAGCAGAAGCAGACCUCUGUGCUCACAGUUACACAGUGGCUCUCUCACUGGGACCAGAGCAUUGGAGAGCAGUUUGGGCAGAGGGAGGUGUUUCCUGUCUGAGGGGAAAAUAGAGUCAAGGAGGGGCAAACAACUUGAGACUAGAAUUUACACCCACGGGAUGGCAAUGCGAUCCAGGCCACAUUUCACGCUCGCUGGUCACCAGAUCAGUGUAAACCUCUUCUUCAGCAUGUGCAGGCUUGAAUAAGGCCGACCGCCCACCCUCUGGGACGGGCCACGUCAAGCAUGCCAGAAAGCUCUCUUGUCUGUUGAAGGUUAACCCUGUGGGGUGGAACAGGAAAUGUCUGCAGUGGUCACAGCGCCUGCUGCUUUGGGCUGCAGCUGGAUUUAAAGAGCUCUUUGUGCUCCCAUCUGACAAGGAUUUAAACACAUGAAGCGACUCUUAACUGUAUGGUAUCCCAAGCAACAGCAACAGCCAGUGAAAACCUUUUAUCUUUAACGGUACAGUGAACCAUGCUCUUCAGAUGAGUUGAGUCUGACGCAGAUAAAAGACCAUAAUGUGGGCAACAUACUCAUUUGAGCAGGUGCAUGCUGGGGAAAUUUACGAUGUGGGAAGCCCAGUGAGAUUGAACACCUUGAACACUGAGCUGAGCAUGCCCCCAAAUGUCCCCGCUUUAAAAGAAUUAAAAGUUUAUUCAUAAGCAGCAUGUGGUAAUUGUCAUAUUGUGUAAUGUUUGUUUAUUUGUUUACCAGAAUAUUCCAGUGUCCGGACAGGAAUGAGGUUUGAGUCAUUGCAAAGAUGAUGAUCAUGUGGUCACAGAAAAUCCUGCAACCUCAUACGCAAUGCCAAAAUAUACGCAGCAUUCUGGAAGCAAAAUAAUAUUGUUCCAAAAUAAGAUGUCUCUUGCAACAUUGCCCACAAACAAGCUUGCCAUGUUAGAAGAUUCCCGUCCAAUCCAAUCCAGGACUGUUCUGUUAAUUAUUUAUAUGAUCAAAUGAAAUAAUCACCAAUCCUGAUCUUAUUCUGCUUAUGAAACCUCUGCAGUAUAAAACAUUAACAGAAACAGUAAUUACACAGCAAACAAUGUUUUUGAAUUGCACAAAUA
Long non-coding RNA from Carassius carassius (crucian carp), 1228 nucleotides. RefSeq lists it as uncharacterized. The record is from RefSeq and is a predicted model, not a curated record. NCBI's taxonomy places the organism in Eukaryota, Metazoa, Chordata, Actinopteri, Cypriniformes, Cyprinidae. The transcript has 4 exons.